Long non-coding RNA from Brassica rapa (field mustard), 304 nucleotides. RefSeq lists it as uncharacterized. The record is from RefSeq and is a predicted model, not a curated record. NCBI's taxonomy places the organism in Eukaryota, Viridiplantae, Streptophyta, Magnoliopsida, Brassicales, Brassicaceae.
CUCAGGUGCCAUGUAAUAUGGACUCCCAACUAUCUCCGAGAACUUCUCACCUGAAAAUAUGUAAGCAUAAAGCAUUACAAACCAAGAAUCUGUUAUAACAAAUACGAGAAAGACACUGCAGAAAACAAAUAAAUAAACAUUAGAAAAUUAAACCAAUUUGACCAGGUCCACGAGCAAAGAAAGGCGAUUCAGAUCAGAGUGAGUGAUUCUAAUGCUAGUGCUACCGAGUCGUUCAAAGGCAUAUCAACAGGACUAUUACACUAGACAAGUUGCAUCUAAGGUAACUAACAUUCAAGAACCACUA